GGUUGCGGACAGUGUCUGGUGGGUAGUUUGACUGGGGCGGUCUCCUCCUAAAGAGUAACGGAGGAGCACGAAGGUUGGCUAAUCCUGGUCGGACAUCAGGAGGUUAGUGCAAUGGCAUAAGCCAGCUUGACUGCGAGCGUGACGGCGCGAGCAGGUGCGAAAGCAGGUCAUAGUGAUCCGGUGGUUCUGAAUGGAAGGGCCAUCGCUCAACGGAUAAAAGGUACUCCGGGGAUAACAGGCUGAUACCGCCCAAGAGUUCAUAUCGACGGCGGUGUUUGGCACCUCGAUGUCGGCUCAUCACAUCCUGGGGCUGAAGUAGGUCCCAAGGGUAUGGCUGUUCGCCAUUUAAAGUGGUACGCGAGCUGGGUUUAGAACGUCGUGAGACAGUUCGGUCCCUAUCUGCCGUGGGCGCUGGAGAACUGAGGGGGGCUGCUCCUAGUACGAGAGGACCGGAGUGGACGCAUCACUGGUGUUCGGGUUGUCAUGCCAAUGGCACUGCCCGGUAGCUAAAUGCGGAAGAGAUAAGUGCUGAAAGCAUCUAAGCACGAAACUUGCCCCGAGAUGAGUUCUCCCUGACCCUUUAAGGGUCCUGAAGGAACGUUGAAGACGACGACGUUGAUAGGCCGGG
Molecule: ribosomal RNA, 628 nt
Filed under: Escherichia coli
Lineage: Bacteria; Pseudomonadati; Pseudomonadota; Gammaproteobacteria; Enterobacterales; Enterobacteriaceae
Description: bacterial LSU rRNA
Rfam family: Bacterial large subunit ribosomal RNA
Source: RNAcentral